UACGUAGGGUCCGAGCGUUGUCCGGAAUUAUUGGGCGUAAAGGGCUCGUAGGCGGUUCGUCACGUCGGGAGUGAAAACUCGGGGCUUAACCCCGAGCCUGCUUCCGAUACGGGCAGACUAGAGGUAGGCAGGGGAGAGCGGAACUCCUGGUGUAGCGGUGGAAUGCGCAGAUAUCAGGAAGAACACCGGUGGCGAAGGCGGCUCUCUGGGCCUUACCUGACGCUGUGGAGCGAAAGCGUGGGUAGCGAACAGG
Molecule: ribosomal RNA, 253 nt
Filed under: uncultured bacterium
Lineage: Bacteria
Description: partial 16S ribosomal RNA
Rfam family: Bacterial small subunit ribosomal RNA
Source: RNAcentral